RNAcentral lists this ribosomal RNA (407 nucleotides) under uncultured bacterium. RNAcentral's name for it is "bacterial SSU rRNA". It matches the Rfam family "Bacterial small subunit ribosomal RNA", at positions 355 to 776 of the family's 1533-position model. The record is from RNAcentral.
UUGGGAAUAUUGGACAAUGGAGGGAACUCUGAUCCAGUGACGCCGCGUGAAGGAAGAAGGUCUUCGGAUUGUAAACUUAUUUUAUCAGGGAAGAAAGAAAUGACAGUACCUGAAGAAAAAGGACCGGCUAACUACGUGCCAGCAGCCGCGGUAAUACGUAGGGUCCAAGCGUUAUCCGGAUUUACUGGGUGUAAAGGGCGAGUAGACGGUAUGUCAAGUCAGCUGUGAAAACUAGGGGCUCAACCCCAAGACUGCAGUUGAAACUGGCAAACUAGAGUGCAGAAGAGGUAAGUGGAAUUCCUAGUGUAGCGGUGAAAUGCGUAGAUAUUAGGAGGAACACCAGUGGCGAAGGCGACUUACUGGGCUGUAACUGACGUUGAGGCGCGAAAGUGUGGGGAGCAAACAGG